Molecule: ribosomal RNA, 467 nt
Filed under: uncultured bacterium
Lineage: Bacteria
Description: partial 16S ribosomal RNA
Rfam family: Bacterial small subunit ribosomal RNA
Source: RNAcentral
GACGAACGCUGGCGGCGUGCUUAACACAUGCAAGUCGAACGGAAAGGCCCUGCUUUUGUGGGGUGCUCGAGUGGCGAACGGGUGAGUAACACGUGAGUAACCUGCCCUUGACUUUGGGAUAACUUCAGGAAACUGGGGCUAAUACCGGAUAGGAGCUCCUGCUGCAUGGUGGGGGUUGGAAAGUUUCGGCGGUUGGGGAUGGACUCGCGGCUUAUCAGCUUGUUGGUGGGGUAGUGGCUUACCAAGGCUUUGACGGGUAGCCGGCCUGAGAGGGUGACCGGCAACAUUGGGACUGAGAUACGGCCCAGACUCCUACGGGAGGCAGCAGUGGGGAAUAUGGCACAAGGGGCGGAAGCCUGAUGCAGAAACGCCGCGUGCGGGAUGACGGCCUUCGGGUUGUAAACCGCUUUCGCUUGUGACGAGGCGUGGGUGACGGUAAUGGGUAAAGAAGCACCGGCUAACUACGU